Molecule: long non-coding RNA, 2909 nt
Organism: Heterocephalus glaber (naked mole-rat)
Lineage: Eukaryota; Metazoa; Chordata; Mammalia; Rodentia; Bathyergidae
Source: Ensembl
GUGCGUGCCACCACACCUGGCUCCACUUUGGGUAUUCCUUAGGCCAGGUACAGGCUGGUUGUGUGUGAGACUCACUGUGGGACCUCACUCCGGCUGGGGAUCGCCCUGUCCUCUGCCUUAUGCAUCUAGAACUGGGGAGAGUUCCCAUGUGAGAGGAGAGCAGCGUGCCCUGCGCUUCUCCCGCCCAGGCCCUGGACUCCAGACUUUUUGGGGCGCUCUGGUCCCUUUCUCCCCUGCUGUCUGGGGUCCUGGGCCGCUCACCUGGAGACGUAUGCAAGGGUUUCGGGUGUGGGCGUGUGGGAAUUCUUGGGUAGAGCAGGAUGCGCCAUGCUGGGCACAGCUGAGUCAUACUCCAGUGGCGCCUUGCCCCAGGGUGCUGGGGCUGGCGCCACCCUGGGUGUGGUCACUGUGCUGUGGCCCGCGGCUGGGUGGUCUGGGAUGUGGCAGGGUGGUGAGGGGCAGCAAAGCAGCUUCUGAGAUGCUAAUUCUUGCCAUCCACAACUAUGGGCAGAUAACCUCCAUAAUGCCGUGGGGAGUCCAGGGACAUCGAGCCACGCGUUUGGGGAAUUUUGGGGUGUCAUGAAAAGAGGACAGAGCCCAUUAGAAAGCAGAUACAGCUGGACAUGGUGGUGCUCACCUGUCAUCCCAGCACUCUGGGAGGCUGAGGCAGGAGGAUCACAAGUUUGAGCUCAGCCUGGGCAACUUAGCGAGACCUUGCCUCAAAAUAAAAAAUAAAGGCCUGGGGAUGGAGCACAAUGUGAAGGCCCCUGGUUCAAACCCUAGUCUCUAAAAAAAAAAAAAAAAGAAGAAGCCAUUUACUCUCUUCUAGGCUUGUAGCCCCCAAACUCCAGGCUAGGGUUUAGAAAUAGACUUCAGUGGCAGGUAGAGGUGGGUACACAAUGGUGGGGUGUACCCCUCAGGGAAGGGCUUCCUGGGUGGAUAUGGGGGUGCCCCUCCAGGCUCUGUGAUUGGCCAGGCCAUGCCUUUGAUCUCCCUAUUUAUAACAGAUGAUUCAGUGUGCUCUUACCCAUCCUGAGCCUGCCCCCAGGGCCAGCCCUGGGUGGGCCAUGGGACUCCCACUUGCAAGGGUGCCAACCCUCGGGACUGCCCAACCUCGUGGGGACAGACCUUAUUGUUCCUGCCGGGGUAACUGGGGUGGAGGGUAGGGGGACUGGCGGUCAGGCGGCGCUGGGCUGGGAAGCCCCGGUUGGCGGCUGGCUCGGGGCCCGGCCCACCGAGCUUCUGUUAAGAGUCUGGCCCAUUAGGCAAAGCGCUAGUGACAGGCUGGGCGGCGGCGGGCAGGGCGGGGCCAGCAGUCCUUGGUAUUUUCCGAUCCCAGCUGCUCUGUGAGGGUGGAAAGUAUUUGGGGAUCAGGCUUGGAGGCGGCAGCGGCGGUGGAGUCCCGGCGGAAGCCGUCCCUGAUGCAUUCCUGGGGCACGGGGCCCUGUGUGUGUCUGGUGCCAGCCUCUGGCCCCGCCCAGUGCCUCCCACCCUUUGCCAUGGCCGGCUGGGGUUCCUGGGGAUGGGAUUUGCUGUCUCACAAAUCACAUUGCCAGGGAUUUCCAACCGACCCUGAGCUCUGCCUCCGGGCCCACCACUGCCACUGAGGAUGCCUGUCCAUGCCUGGGGACGGGGUGUCGGAGAGGCCCUGCCACCGCCACCACCACUGCUGUAGCCGUCGCCAGGCCUGAGGAGCAGGGCUUAGCUGCUUGUGAGCAGAGUCCGCACCAAGUCGUGUUCACAGUGGCUAAGUUCCGUCCCCUGGGCCCCGCCUCCACCGCCCCACCUUUCUGCUGGUUGCCCAGUUCCCCGGGCUCUGCCUCCCGUGCCUACUGAGCUGAAACACAGUUGAUUUGUGCAGACUGGCUCAGUUCAGCAGGAACAGGGGUCAAGCCCCCUGGAGCCUGGAGCGCACAGCCUGGCUGUCCUGACACGGCGACCAGACAGGCGCAGAUGUGUCUGAAGGAGGGGACACGGGAGGACGGGGUGAGAGGGCUGGCCUGGGUCUAGGCAUCUGCUGCAGGCCACCUCUCUUUUUUGUUUUUUGAUACCAUGGAUGGAACUCGGGUCCUUGCACUUUCGCAGCAGGCAGUGAAACCACUGAGCUAAAUCCCCAGCCCAAGGCCACCUCUCUUGGUCUGCACAGAGGGACCCUGUUGUCCCAACAUGGCCAUACCUCGAACAGGCUGAGCCGUUGUCCCAGGGUAGACAGGACAGAGGGUCCUUCCUUAAGCCAGCUGUGCUUCUCUGGGCCUAGCACCUCAGCUCCUCCCUGUUUUGAUUCGUGAGAUUGAGUCUCCCUGUGUAAUCCAGGCUGGCUUUGAAUUAUGUAGCCAGGCAGUCCUCCUGCCUCAGCUUCCUGAGUGCUGGGAUGACAUGUGUGUGUCACCAUGCCUGGCCCUGCCCCUCCUGUCCUAAGCCUAGCGGGGAGUGCUGAACCUUCCCAGCUGCCUGUUACCCAAGAGGAAGCUGCCUUAGGCCCCCUGACCGUUAAGUGCCAACUCACAGCUUCUGGAACUAGCUGGCCCGACUUGGCCGAGUGAGUGUGCCUGGGCCCCUCUCCCUGGCCCUGAGGGUUCUUAAUGACACCCACUCCACGUGGGGUAGGGAACAGUUCCAUGCGGCCCCAAGAGGGACAUGAUCAGGCCUCCCCUGUCCUGGGGUUGAGGUCAUCCUGUCCUGCUCUCCUUGGUGGUCCUGGGCUUGGAAGAGGUGAAUUGUGCCACUGUCCCCAAGUCAGAUGGGAGGAAGCUCUUUGGGCCUGGAGGGAGGGUCCAGUGAAAUGCCCAGACUGUCAGGGCUGGCCUGGUGUUGCCCAGGUAGGGGCAGACAGGAGCUUGGGUGGAGGGAGGGCAGCAUUUGUAUUGUGCCCCGCAUGUGAUGCCCAGUGAAAUAAAAGUUGUCCCAGC